Molecule: non-coding RNA, 946 nt
Organism: Monopterus albus (swamp eel)
Lineage: Eukaryota; Metazoa; Chordata; Actinopteri; Synbranchiformes; Synbranchidae
Source: the annotation of a RefSeq genome assembly
UGACUGUACUGUAUACUGGAAGGAGCUGCUUGUGAAAAAGUCACAAUGCAGUAAAAAAGUCAAGGUACAUCAGUCCUGUACUGCAGGUCUUUGGAAGUUUUUUACAUGUCAGUUAUCUGUGUGCUCUAACACUUAUCCUGCUUAUUUUGGAGAGGGAACCAAACUAACAGUUCUUGAAACCGGCCAUGAACUAAAAGCACCAGAAGUGAAAGUGCUUCGUCCGUCGCGAAAGGAGCGUCGUAAGAAAGGUGAUGGAAAGAAGAAGACCCUAGUUUGUGUGGCCAGUAAAUUCUACCCAGACCAUGUCAGUGUGUCUUGGAAGAAAAACAAUGUGGAUGUCACCAAAGGUGUGGCGACGGACGCCGCUGCCCUGCGGAAUGGAACCUACUACAUAAUCACCAGCAGGUUAAACGUCUCUGCCGAAGACUGGGACAAUCCUGACAAUACUUUCACCUGCACUGUCAGCUUCUUUGAUGGGAAUACAACUAUAUACACGUCAGAUCAUAUUCGUGGUGAAAAAGCUAAAGAAAACAGCAUCACAAGAGUGAAGUAUUUGAGGAUCACACAGAACGCCAAACUCUCCUACGCCGUUCUCAUCGUCAAGAGCUGCAUCUAUGGAGCCUUCGUAGCGUUUCUGGUGUGGAAGCUUCAGGGUUCAGCUGGAAAGCAGAACAACUGAGAGCUGGGACCUGAACAAAAACUCUGGGACAUGGAUUUUCUUCUGUAAAUAACAUUUGAAAACAGUAGUUACAGUCUGUUUCUAUAAAGCUGUAUGUUGCAGUGCAUUAGAGACAUUCAAAUUCUCUGUGCAUCUUAUUCUUGUUACAACGUUAAAGCUCUGACUGGCAGGAAAAUACAGUAGUUUGGAAUCAGUUUCCUGUAGAUGUUUGUGGUUUGCUUCAUUUUCCUCUUAAUAAAAACAUUUUAAUGUCUCUAUAAAAGUUUG